GCAGCAGUAACUCAAAUAACUAUUGUUACCAUAGUAGACGAUGCAGAAGAGCAUCUCUGAAUGUUGAAUCUUGAAGCAGAUGGGCUUCAGCAGCAGGAGACCACACCAGCUGCCACUGCUGUCAGCUAAGAUCAGGAAACUGAGUUCACAGGUUCACCAAAAUUGGGCAACAAUAGACGGCGUCUGGUCUGAUGAGUCUCUGGAACUUUCAGAAGGUAGGAUUAGAAGUUGGUGUCAAUUGCAUGAAAGCGUGGCUCCAUCCUGCCUUGUAUCAUCAGUCCAGGCUGGUGGCGGUAUAAUGUUGGGGAUAUUUUCUUGGCAAACUUUGAGCCCCUCGGUACUAACUGGGCAUCAUUUAAAAACCACAGCCUGCCUGAGUAUUAAUGCCAGUCAUGUCAAUCCCUUUAUGACCACAGUGCACCAUCUGAUGGCUGCUUCGAGCAGGACAACACACCAUGUCAGAAAGCUCAGAUCAAACUGGUUUCUUGAACAUAAUGAGUUCACUCAACUCAAACAACCUCCACAGUCUCCAGAUCUCAGUGUGAUAGAGCAGCUUUGAGAUGCGGAAGAAGAGGAGAUUCAAAUCAUAGAUGUGUGAUGCUGUCAUGCCAACAUGGACCAUGAAGGUCAUCAGGUUUUCUUCGGAGUUGUGGUUGCAAUCUUGUGGUCUUUGCCAGAGGAAGAACCUGCAGGCCGAGCUAUCACUUACUGUAAACAUUGUUCUUCCUCCAGAGCCAGUUGAAACAGGAAAUGCCACCUAAAUUUAGGGUGGAUCUACUUACCCACUGGCUCAUCUUACCCCACUUUCCUCCAAGGACACGCUGACACUGUGUGUGUGUGGCAGGACAGAACAAACAGCUAAUAGGUUUCCACUGAUGAUUCUUCCACUGAUGAUUUGCUGUGCAUAGACGGAGAUCUGUUUCCUCCAUCACCUGUGUCUGGCACAGCCUCGUAGCCAUGGCUACCACAGCCAUUACACAAAAAGGUCUAACUUGCAUUAUUAACGCCCUUCACAUGAAUGCCUUCGGGAGCAUACCAUUUCAAGCUGAGGAAAAAGCAGACCUUGAAUGGUUUGUUAUUGGACUGCAGUGAAAAAGAAUAAAAGGACCAAAACUUCAA
Molecule: long non-coding RNA, 1119 nt
Organism: Astatotilapia calliptera (eastern happy)
Lineage: Eukaryota; Metazoa; Chordata; Actinopteri; Cichliformes; Cichlidae
Source: Ensembl